Molecule: ribosomal RNA, 548 nt
Filed under: uncultured bacterium
Lineage: Bacteria
Description: bacterial SSU rRNA
Rfam family: Bacterial small subunit ribosomal RNA
Source: RNAcentral
UCAAUGGGCGAGAGCUUGAACCAGCCAAGUAGCGUGCAGGAUGACGGCCCUCCGGGUUGUAAACUGCUUUUAGUUGGGAAUAAAAAAAGGGACUUGUCCCUUCUUGUAUGUACCUUCAGAAAAAGGACCGGCUAAUUCCGUGCCAGCAGCCGCGGUAAUACGGAAGGUCCAGGCGUUAUCCGGAUUUAUUGGGUUUAAAGGGAGCGUAGGCGGAUUGUUAAGUCAGCGGUUAAAGGGUGUGGCUCAACCAUGCAUUGCCGUUGAAACUGGCGAUCUUGAGUGCAGACAGGGAUGCCGGAAUUCGUGGUGUAGCGGUGAAAUGCUUAGAUAUCACGAAGAACUCCGAUCGCGAAGGCAGGUGUCCGGGCUGCAACUGACGCUGAGGCUCGAAAGUGUGGGUAUCAAACAGGAUUAGAUACCCUGGUAGUCCACACAGUAAACGAUGUAUACUCGCGGUUUGCGAUAGAUUGUAAGCCGCCAAGCGAAAGCAUUAAGUAUACCACCUGGGGAGUACGCCGGCAACGGUGAAACUUAAAGGAAUUGACGGC